UGCCAGCCGCCGCGGUAAUACAGAGGGUGCAAACGUUGUUCGGAAUUAUUGGGCGUAAAGCGCGUGUAGGCGGUUCGUUAAGUCUGAUGUGAAAGCCCGGGGCUCAACCUGGGAACUGCAUUCGAUACUGCAUAAUUAGAGUAUGGUAGAGGGAAGUGGAAUUUCCGGUGUCGCGGUGAAAUUCGUAGAUAUUAGGAGGAACACCAGUGGCGAAGGCGACUUGCCGGACUGUAACUGACGCUGAGGCGCGAAGGCGUGGGUAGCGAACGGGAUUAGAUA
RNAcentral lists this ribosomal RNA (279 nucleotides) under uncultured bacterium. RNAcentral's name for it is "partial 16S ribosomal RNA". It matches the Rfam family "Bacterial small subunit ribosomal RNA", at positions 506 to 784 of the family's 1533-position model. The record is from RNAcentral.